CUCACUCCCGAUCCCGACCCCAUCUCUCUCCAGGAAAAGUCGCCGCUGCCGCCGGAUAUGCUCGUCGCCCCGCCACCUUUCCAUCCGCUGCCACGCGCCUUUCUGGAUCAAGGUGAGGGAUGCCUCCCGUCCCGUGCGCCCGCCUUGGAAGAGAGAGGGGGAGAGAAAGACAGAGAUAAGAGAGAGGGAGGGGCGGACAGCGGCGGCGCUGGCCUAAUCGCCGACAGAGGAAGAUGAGGUUGUGGUUCCAAAGCGUGACGGCUCGGCGCUGCUGAUUCACGGCUGUCGACUUCCUUGUUUGCUUCUGGCUGCGGGCGCGGCGCACCUUGCCUUCAUGUCACCAAGAAGGUCUGCAGUCCAUCAUCAUCCGACGUAAAACUUCAGGGCGGCCACCAGAAAGAUCAUGAUAUGCCGCCAUUAUGCAGGAGCUCUCGGUUAUGAAGGAAAAAUCUGCUUCCCAAUCAAGCAGUUCAUCAACAACAAUGCCAAGAUUAAUAAUAAGUUCAACAAGGAAGCCAAACAACUUUUUAUAGUGUGCACUCUCACAAGUAUUAUGGCCUGGUAAACAAGAAGGCGGCCAACUGCUUGUAAAGAGAAACCGAUAAGGAGAGCUCGACAUGUAAGGUGAUUAUCGCUUCUCUUUGAUUUCUUUCAGCAUGAACGUAGAUGUGCAAAUUCAGAUAACUUUUAUUGUCUGUGUCGCUUCAAUACAGAUUUUAUUAUCUGUUCAUCUUUCUAACUUUAACCAGUGGUUUGGUUGUAGACCGGCAGCAAACUGUAGUACAAUAAAUCAGGUAAUUAAUUUGUUGUUUUACCGCAUUCUGGUAUCAACUACUAAGCAAAGUAGUACAAUAAACAAUUUUGGCUUGCAUCGAUUUUUCUUGUUACUAUGUCUUUUUUGAAAGGACAAAUUAGUUUUAAAGUUAAUUUUAUUUUUCACCAUUUGACAUGUUAAUAUUUUUGUCGUGUACUGAUAUACUCCCUCCAUCCCAAUAUAAGUGUCUUUGAUUUAAUAAACUUUACAAAAUUGUACUAAAUCAAAGAUGCUUAUUUUGAGAUGGAGGGAGUGCUUGCCUUGCGUUUUUCCUUUCUUUUAGUGCUAGGAAAAAACAAAUGUCGGUUGAUAUGCUCUUGAUAUGGCCCUGCUAAGUACAAUUAACUUCGUUUUAAAAAAUCACACAUAUAUUCUGAUUCAUAAUAGCAUUGUAGGCAAAGGGUUGGAACACGCGGUGUUUAAAAUUUAGACAAUAAUUUUUAGUAUAGUAUUCCGAGGAUUGGACAACAAUUUUUAGUAUAGUAUUCCGAGGACUACUAGAUGGUUUAAGGUGACAGCUUCGGAUCCCAAAAAUGUGUGUGAGGAGUCUCCAAACGCGCGCUACAGGCUACAUCCUUAGGUUUAGUCGUCUAUUCUAGCUUAAUCGUGUAUAGACCAUUCCAUUAGUGAUAUUGAUCCCUCCGUUCAUUUUUAUAAGGCGUUUAAAACAACUGGCUUUGAACUGUUUAGAACACUGUCUGAACAGGCUUAAACGUCUUAUAUAAGUGAACAAGGAGAGUAGUAGUUAUCACGAGGAAUCCCUCAUAUCUGGAUUGAGAAUUUGCUAUUAUGAGAUUUUUCAUCCAUGUCGUGCUCUACUCAAUUGGCAUACUAGGCAACCUGUACAUGGCCAAAAAAGAUCUGACCGCCGAAUCCCGUCCUCGAGCAGGCUUAGGAAUUGAAGAUACCUAGACUCCCAUGAGGUGGGUAUCAUCAGGUAAAGCUAUGUUAUGAACAGCGAC
Triticum aestivum (bread wheat) is the source of this 1776-nucleotide long non-coding RNA. RefSeq lists it as uncharacterized. The record is from RefSeq and is a predicted model, not a curated record. NCBI's taxonomy places the organism in Eukaryota, Viridiplantae, Streptophyta, Magnoliopsida, Poales, Poaceae. The transcript is spliced from 3 exons.